RNAcentral lists this non-coding RNA (28 nucleotides) under Bombyx mori (domestic silkworm). The record is from RNAcentral. Lineage: Eukaryota; Metazoa; Arthropoda; Insecta; Lepidoptera; Bombycidae.
UGAUUGGUGUACCAUUAGCGGCGGAUAG